AUGGCAAACAGUUUCAAUUUCCCAAUGCCAACUUCAUUGAUGAUGGCACUGAAAUCACGGCAAACGUGACGUAUGUAUACAAAGAGGAAGAUGUCAACCACCCUAGUGGUUUUCUACAGGAAGUCUUAAAAGUCUCAGGUCUCCUGACCACCACUGUUGCCCCAACAACAACUACCAACACCACUCCACUUCCUACCCUUUUGACUUCAGUGACAUCAACAACUAGAUUCGGCACAGUUGG
Molecule: long non-coding RNA, 241 nt
Organism: Oncorhynchus gorbuscha (pink salmon)
Lineage: Eukaryota; Metazoa; Chordata; Actinopteri; Salmoniformes; Salmonidae
Exons: 4
Source: RefSeq, a predicted model, not a curated record